Poronia punctata is the source of this 109-nucleotide non-coding RNA. The record is from the annotation of a GenBank genome assembly. NCBI's taxonomy places the organism in Eukaryota, Fungi, Ascomycota, Sordariomycetes, Xylariales, Xylariaceae.
GGGCGAAUGGUCUAGGGGUAUGAUAUUCGCUUUGCAUGGCUAGCUCUUCCUUGCGGUGCCGAAAGUAUGUAAUUGCGAAGGGUCCGGGGUUCAAUUCCCCGUUCGUCCA